This 72-nucleotide transfer RNA is filed under the name Cirrhilabrus temminckii (threadfin wrasse). Its description in RNAcentral is "tRNA-Ile". The record is from RNAcentral. Lineage: Eukaryota; Metazoa; Chordata; Actinopteri; Labriformes; Labridae.
GGAGCUGUGCCUGAAGUAUAAAGGGCCACUUUGAUAGAGUGGAUAAUGGAGAUUAGUACUCUCCCAGCUCCU